GAGUAACAUGUGGGUAUCUUCCCUUUGGUGAGGAAUAACACGAGGAAACUUGUGCUAAUACCUCAUAAGUCUUUACGGAGAAAGCUUUAUGCGCCAAUGGAUGAGCCCGCACUUGAUUAGUUAGUUGGUAGGGUAAUGGCCUACCAAGACUUUGAUCAAUAGCUGAUUUGAGAGGAUGAUCAGCCACAUUGGGACUGAGACACGGCCCAAACUCCUACGGGAGGCAGCAGUAGGGAAUCUUGCACAAUGGAGGAAACUCUGAUGCAGCGAUGCCGCGUGAGUGAAGAAGGCCUUUGGGUUGUAAAGCUCUUUCGUCGGGGAAGAAAAUGACUGUACCCGAAUAAGAAGGUCCCGGCUAACUUCAUGCCAGCAGCCGCGGUGAUACGAAGGGACCUAGCGUAGUUCGGAAUUACUGGGCUUAAAGAGUUCGUAGGUGGUUAAAAAAGUUGGUGGUGAAAUCCCAGAGCUUAACUCUGGAACUGCCAUCAAAACUUUU
RNAcentral lists this ribosomal RNA (496 nucleotides) under uncultured bacterium. Its description in RNAcentral is "bacterial SSU rRNA". It matches the Rfam family "Bacterial small subunit ribosomal RNA", at positions 108 to 637 of the family's 1533-position model. The record is from RNAcentral.